AAAGAACAUUACAUACCCGUCUCAUACUGUGGUAUCUAGCAGUACCAGUCUCCCCCUCCCCCCUCCCACCACCAAACCACCUCACCCUCUCCCACCACCUGAAGCCGUAGCCACAAGAUCCCCUCGUCCUCCCCAACCCUAACCCUAUCUCUGAUCUGAAUCUUUGGUUGGGCUGCAGGCUUGUUGUAUCCCAGAUGGCGCGCUCGUCCUCCAAUGCUGGAGAUGUUGGCUACUAUCCCAACCCAUCUCCGAUUCCUUACCGUGAGCACGCGCUAGCAUAUGAGCCAGCUUCGAAUUGCUGGUGCGAAGAGAAAGGGGCGAGGAGAAUCUCUUGGACCAACGCUAACCCUGGUCGCAGGUUUCUGAACUGCCAAAAAUCUCGUGACGGAGGUUGCAAGUGGUUUGAUGACCCUACUACACCAUUCCUUCGCCAACUUUUGGUCGAUUUGCGUGACACGGUGCACAACCUGCGGAGGGAGAACGCUCGGCUCAAUUGAGUCAACGCGGACCUUGAAAUGGGGAUUGAGGAACGAAGCUCCACUAAUAUUUCUUUGCGGGAUGCAUUGCGCAAGACGAAGGAACGAAAUAAGGCUCUCGAAGAAAAGUUGGGUAAGACUGAAGCCCUUCUCAAGGAAAAGGCAAAUGGACAGCAGAAGCGGAUGCUUUUUAGUGUGAUUUUGUUAGUGUUCCUCCUGUUUCUAGCUAGCAAGCUUGCAGCUUAGUAUUUAUCAGUUGUUGUUGCCCUGCUCGAGCUGAUGUGCUGUUCGUGAACAAUUUAAUUAAUAUUGUGCUAUCCGCUACCAAUUCCUUUUGUGUAAUCUGAAGAAUGAUGUUUAUGUUAAGCAAAAUGUGUCUAUUUGGGGUGCA
Long non-coding RNA from Triticum aestivum (bread wheat), 867 nucleotides. RefSeq lists it as uncharacterized. The transcript is spliced from 2 exons. The record is from RefSeq and is a predicted model, not a curated record. NCBI's taxonomy places the organism in Eukaryota, Viridiplantae, Streptophyta, Magnoliopsida, Poales, Poaceae.